GUUCCUGAAGCACAAUGGAUAGCGCGUUGGACAUCUAAUCGAAAGGUCGUGGGCUCGAAUCCCACUUGGGAUG
RNAcentral lists this transfer RNA (73 nucleotides) under Trichonephila inaurata madagascariensis. It matches the Rfam family "tRNA". Rfam says of the family: Transfer RNA (tRNA) molecules are approximately 80 nucleotides in length. Lineage: Eukaryota; Metazoa; Arthropoda; Arachnida; Araneae; Nephilidae. The record is from Rfam by way of RNAcentral.